GAUGAACGCUGGCGGCGUGCCUAAUACAUGCAAGUCGAACGAGGUGCUUGAGUAGCAAUACAAGAGUAUCCUAGUGGCGAACGGGUGAGUAACGCGUUGGUGACCUACCCCAAAGUGUGGGAUAACAGUUCGAAAGAACUGCUAAUACCGCAUGUGGUUAUUGGAUUUAGAAACUGAUAACUAAAGGAGCAAUUCGCUUUGGGAGGGACCUGCGUCCCAUCAGCUAGUUGGUGAGGUAAUGGCUCACCAAGGCUACGACGGGUAGGGGACCUGAGAGGGUGACCCCCCCACAAUGGAACUGAAACACGGUCCAUACACCUACGGGUGGCAGCAGUAGGGAAUAUUGCACAAUGGGCGAAAGCCUGAUGCAGCAACGCCGCGUGUGCGAUGAAGGCCUUCGGGUCGUAAAGCACUUUUCUGGGAGAUGAGCAAGGACAGUAUCUCAGGAAUAAGUCUCGGCUAACUACGUGCCAGCAGCCGCGGUAAU
RNAcentral lists this ribosomal RNA (487 nucleotides) under uncultured bacterium. Its description in RNAcentral is "bacterial SSU rRNA". It matches the Rfam family "Bacterial small subunit ribosomal RNA", at positions 28 to 524 of the family's 1533-position model. The record is from RNAcentral.